This 161-nucleotide ribosomal RNA is filed under the name uncultured bacterium. RNAcentral's name for it is "partial 16S ribosomal RNA". It matches the Rfam family "Bacterial small subunit ribosomal RNA", at positions 355 to 512 of the family's 1533-position model. The record is from RNAcentral.
UGAGGAAUAUUGGUCAAUGGGCGCGAGCCUGAACCAGCCAAGUCGCGUGAGGGAUGACGGCCCUACGGGUUGUAAACCUCUUUUGUCGGGGAGCAAAUUCCGUUACGUGUAACGGAGUCGAGAGUACCCGAAGAAAAAGCAUCGGCUAACUCCGUGCCAGC